Molecule: ribosomal RNA, 2228 nt
Filed under: Physarum utriculare
Lineage: Eukaryota; Evosea; Eumycetozoa; Physariida; Physaraceae
Description: Badhamia utricularis partial 28S ribosomal RNA
Rfam family: Eukaryotic large subunit ribosomal RNA (bases 1-1496)
Source: RNAcentral
GAGUAACUAUGACUCUCUUAAGGUAGCCAAAUGCCUCGUCAUCGUAUUUCAGUAAUCGAAAUGGCACCUUAGGAGUAUAAACUGGCGGCUGGGCGGCGUAUGGCGGCAUCGACGGGACUGGACGACACGAGAAGCAUCUGAUCAAUGCACUAUCGAUCGACCGGACCCGAUCGUACCGUACCUAAUCGUGAUUCUUGAUGUAGACGUAAGCCGGGUAUUCGUACCUAGGGAUCUAACCGCGGAGAAGGGUCGUGCCGAUUGCAAGGCUGAGCCUGACUGGCGACCAAGCCGAUCGAUGUAGUCACGCUAUCGGAAAGUACCUAAUGGGGCCCCCAUACCCACCAGGGAAACUGAAGCAAAGGACCGAUCGAACGGAAGGCCAAGAGACUAUACGGUUCCUAAGGCAAAAGAGAUAGUCCACCCAACGAGAGUAACCGUGAAGAGCACGGAGCGAGUGGCUCGUUCGGAACGUAACCGAGGAUCAUUACCUCAACCGCGUUCCCGAAGAAGGCCAGAGGCUCCCUCGUGUUGUUCGGUAGCGGCGAAGCCCCGUAUCAUACCCACGAUCACCAUUCGAUUUGAUCGAGCGCGGGGCAGGUACGGCGAGCGGGUGUUAAUUUGUGACGCGCAUGAAUGGAUUAAUGAGAUUCCCACUGUCCCUACCUACUAUCUAGCGAAACCACAGCCAAGGGAACGGGCUUGGCACAAUUAGCGGGGAAAGAAGACCCUGUUGAGCUUGACUCUAGGCAUAGAAGCGAGGUGAUUCUAAAGGUGUAGCAUAGGUGGGAGGGUCCAUGCCCGACAAUGAAAUACCACCACUUUCGACAUCGCUUUGCUAAUGCUGUAACGAACGAACGGAACCGCGUCCCUCUCGUCGAAAGGCGGGGGAAGGGAUAGGCAAUCCAAAUUCUAGCGCUUUCCGCGCUCGCAUGACGGAUCGGCUCCUCUGGGUGAGUACUGUGGGACCGCGAGUCGGGCUUCCGAGUCUGGCGAGUGCUGCUUCUGCGGGAACCAGGGACGGUCGAACUGUCCUCUGCGGGCUUCAAGCCGGUACGUAAUGCGUGUAGCAGACUAUCUAUGUUGGGGAGUUUGGCUGGGGCGGAAAACUGCUACACGGCAACGGCAGUCUCCUAAGGUCCACUCAGAGACGACAGAAACGUCUCGUAGAGCAUAAAGGCAAAAGUGGGCUUAACUCGCAUUUUCAAGUAGUAAUGUGAAGCAAGAAAUUGCGGCUUAACGAUCCUUAGCGGCGGGUGCCAGCCCACGCUUGAGGUGAGAGAAAAGUUACCACAGGGAUUGAUAAACCACACACGAGUAACUAUGACGGGAGGGCGAGCGAAGCGUUCAAAUCGACCGACCUACCGGGGCCGACGGGUCCCGGUUAACUGCGAGAUACGGCUUCAUCCCCUCAAAUAAUGGGUCCCAACGAGUCGAUCGGUAAGCGCGAUGCCUGGUCCAGUGCAGAUUUACCAUGGUAUACGAUACGCUAAAGGGGUUCUCGGAUGGUGUUGGAUGCGUAAGCCUGUAACGGGCGACAAGCGGUCCUGAUCCUGACGGUUCUCCUUCCCGACGGCGACGCACCUCGAUGCUGAGACGGCUUAAAAGGGUCCACUCGUGGGUCGAUCUUGAUCGAUCCCGAGGUUAACAAGGUACCCGGCAAACGACGAUUUGUACCAAGCGUUGCUCGGUCACACCGAGACGUGGAGCUGGUCACGUUCCCCUUCGGGGGAUGCGGACUGCGGGUCAUAAUCUUAUCGAUCGGAGCUUAUCAGCAAGCGACAAGGCCAUCCAGUCGAGACACGACAAGGACGCGACCAACCUUCGGGUAGGCGGUCCGUACGGUGCACGACGGGUCAAAAUGAUGGUUAAGCGCUUCAACGACUGGAAAGGUGUGGGACCGAGCGGUGGUAUACGGUCGACCUAGUCAACCGAUAACCAUCGCACGGUCUUAAGGAACAGUCUCUCCCGGCUUCAAGUAGCGAACGGGCGAUAUGGGAUACAAGGGAACGGGCCUUAGGAUACAUGAGCAGUACGGACCGGUUUAUUCCGGACCCGAGCCUCCCCCCCCCUCCCCCCUUUCGUCCAAGUAGCGAAUGGAGCAUGCCGCGAUCUCAUAACCCACCACUGCGAGGGCGAGACGUGGGAACGAUGGCUUUUUUCACCACGUUCGGAUACGAAACGGAAUACGGAACUGGCUUGUGGCCGCCAAGCGUUCAUAGCGACGUGGC